This 253-nucleotide ribosomal RNA is filed under the name uncultured bacterium. Its description in RNAcentral is "partial 16S ribosomal RNA". It matches the Rfam family "Bacterial small subunit ribosomal RNA", at positions 524 to 776 of the family's 1533-position model. The record is from RNAcentral.
GACGUAGGAGGCGAGCGUUGUCCGGAUUCAUUGGGCGUAAAGAGCGCGCAGGCGGCUUGGUAAGUCGGAUGUGAAAUCCCGAGGCUCAACCUCGGGUCUGCAUCCGAUACUGCCCGGCUAGAGGUAGGUAGGGGAGAUCGGAAUUCCUGGUGUAGCGGUGAAAUGCGCAGAUAUCAGGAGGAACACCGGUGGCGAAGGCGGAUCUCUGGGCCGGUACUGACGCUGAGGCGCGAAAGCGUGGGGAGCGAACGGG